CCCUUAGAUGUCCGGGGCCGCACGCGCGCUACACUGAAGGAAUCAGCGUGGCUUUCUCCCUGACCCGAAAGGGUUGGGAAACCCGUUGAAUCUCCUUCGUGAUAGGGAUUGGGGCUUGAAAUUGUUCCCCAUGAACGAGGAAUUCCCAGUAAGCGCGAGUCAUAAGCUCGCGUUGAUUACGUCCCUGCCCAUUGUACACACCGCCCGUCGCUACUACCGAUUGAACGGUUUAGUGAGGGCCUCGGAUUGGUCUCGGCCCGCUCUUUACCGGGCGGCGCCGUUGGUCGAGAAGACGCUCGAACUUGAUCGUUUAGAGGAAGUAAAAGUCGUAACA
RNAcentral lists this ribosomal RNA (334 nucleotides) under uncultured eukaryote. RNAcentral's name for it is "partial 18S ribosomal RNA". It matches the Rfam family "Eukaryotic small subunit ribosomal RNA", at positions 1470 to 1796 of the family's 1831-position model. The record is from RNAcentral.